ACCUGAAACCGUCUGCUUACAAGCCGUUCGAGGGCUAUGCAUUGCACGCCUGAGAGCGUUCCUUUUGAAUGAUGAGUCCGCGAGUUGCGGUAUGUCGCAAGGUUAAGCCGAAAGGUGUAGCCGCAGGGAAACCGAGUUCUAAGUGAGCGACAGAGUGGCAUGCCGCAGACCCGAAGCGUUGUGAUCUACACGUGUCCGGGAUGAAGCGCGGGUAAUACCGCGUGGAGGUCCGAAUCCACCAAAGUUGAAAAUUUGGGGAAUGAGGUGCGUGUAGGGGUGAAAGGCUAAUCAAACUGCGUGAUAGCUGGUUCUCCUCGAAAAAUAUUUAGGUAUUGCCUCGGAACAUUCACUGUCGGAGGUAGAGCACUGAAAGGGCUAGGGGGCCUACCAGCCUACCAAACCUUAUCAAACUCCGAAUGCCGGCAAGUGUUAUUCCGGGAGGCAGUCUACGAGUGAUAAGAUUCGUGGACGAGAGGGAAAGAGCCCAGAUCGCCAGCUAAGGUCCCCGAAUCUAUGCUAAGUGGAGAACGAUGUGGGAGCGCUUAGACAACCAGGAGGUUGGCUUAGAAGCAGCCAUCCUUCAAAGAAAGCGUAACAGCUCACUGGUCUAGCGAACCUGCGCGGAAAAAAUAACGGGGCUCAAGCAUAGUACCGAAGCUGCGGGUUCUUCGUAAGAAGAGCGGUAGAGGAGCAUUGAAGUUGCCUGCGAAGGUCGACCGUGAGGACGGCUGGAGGCCCUUCAAGAGAGUAUGCGGACAUAAGUAGCGAUAAAACGAGUGAGAAACUCGUUCGCCGAAAACCCAAGGUUUCCUGGGCAAGGUUCAUCCUCCCAGGGUUAGUCGGGUCCUAAGCUGAGGCCACACGGCGUAAGCGAGGGGAAGCAGGUUAAUAUUCCUGCACGAGCAAUUCAGCGUAGAAACUAGCAGGGACGGAGAAGGGCAGACGAGCCAACGGCUGGAAUAGUUGGUUCAAGCGCGUAGGGGUCUAGGAUACGAUCAAAAGGUUCUAGAGAUAUCCCCGAGACGUAAUGAGGGUCCGCGACUUCGGUCAAGGACGAACUCGUCGAUCCCAAGCUUCCAAGAAAAGCUGCGAGUGGAGCUGCGUUGGUCCCCGUACCGGAAACCGACACAGGUGGGUAGGUGGAGAACACCAAGGCGCUUGAGAGAACUCUGGUGAAGGAACUCUGCAUAUUAACACCGUAACUUCGGGAUAAGGUGUGCCUUUCGUGGUGGAGCGCCUCGCGCGCCGAGCCUCGAAGGGUCGCAGCUAAGCGGGGGUAGCGACUGUUUACCUAAAACACAGGCUUCUGCUAAGUCGAAAGACGACGUAUAGGAGCUGACUCCUGUCCGGUGCCGGAAGGUUAAGGGGACUGCUCAGUGCAAACGAAGGCAUGAACCGAAGCCCCGGUAAACGGCGGCCGUAACGAUAACGGUCCUAAGGUAGCGAAAUUCCUUGGCGGGUAAGUUCCGUCCUGCACGAAUGGAGCAACGACUUCCCCACUGUCUCCACCAGAGACUCAGCGAAAUUGAACUCGCGGUGAAGAUACCGCGUUCCCGCGGAGGGACGGAAAGACCCCAUGAACCUUCACUGCAACU
RNAcentral lists this ribosomal RNA (1595 nucleotides) under metagenome. Its description in RNAcentral is "bacterial LSU rRNA". It matches the Rfam family "Bacterial large subunit ribosomal RNA", at positions 548 to 2111 of the family's 2925-position model. The record is from RNAcentral.